Long non-coding RNA from Thalassophryne amazonica, 100 nucleotides. RefSeq lists it as uncharacterized. The record is from RefSeq and is a predicted model, not a curated record. The transcript is spliced from 3 exons. NCBI's taxonomy places the organism in Eukaryota, Metazoa, Chordata, Actinopteri, Batrachoidiformes, Batrachoididae.
ACAUUUCCAGGAUGAGUUCAUUUCUGAUACAUCUGCACGUGGACGUGGAGACGGGCGUAUGCCAGGUUUUUGUGCAUACGCACGCUUUGUACAUGAGGCC